GAAAAAGAUGGUGGCGGCAACGAUAGCGGAGAUGCUGGUGGCGGUAUUAAGAAGGUGAUGGUGGUGAUGGUAAUGGAGGCACAAGCUAUAGUACAAUAAGAGUUUCUUAUUUUUAAAAAUAUUAAAAAUAUUUUUUUAUUUUUUAAUAAUAAAAAUAAGUUAAAAAAUAAAAAUAAAAAUAAUUGCUUCAAAAAUGUUUCUUAUAUCAAUUUCUAUAUUUAUUUUUUAAAUAAAAACAAGAAAAGGAUGCCAAACAAAUCCUAAAUCUAUCCUUGAGAUACCACGUUAUCCUCUUUUGGCCCUAUUAGUGAUUAAAGUAAAACUUUAGGAGAAUUAGGAUAUGUGUUACUUACAAUCUCAAGAAGAGAGGCACUUAAGGUGAAUAAUGGGGUCAAUGAUGGAAAUCUUUGUUUAACAAAGAAAAAUAUCUGGAUUAAAGC
RNAcentral lists this long non-coding RNA (440 nucleotides) under Phoenix dactylifera (date palm). RNAcentral describes it as "long non-coding RNA (PDAC_LNC003974)". Lineage: Eukaryota; Viridiplantae; Streptophyta; Magnoliopsida; Arecales; Arecaceae. The record is from RNAcentral.